UGGGGAAUCUUGCGCAAUGGGCGAAAGCCUGACGCAGCGACGCCGCGUGAGGUAAGAAGGCCUUCGGGUUGUAAACCUCUUUCAGCAGGGACGAAGCUACCCGUUUUAACAGCCCAGAGUGUGACUGUACCUGUAGAAGAAGCCCCGGCUAUCUACGUGCCAGCAGCCGCGGUAAUACGUAGGGGGCAAGCGUUGUCCGGAUUUACUGGGCGUAAAGAGCGUGUAGGCGGCCAAGCAGGUCUGUUGUGAAAACUGGAGGCUCAACCUCCAGACGUCGACAGAAACCGCUUGGCUAGAGUCCGGAAGAGGAGAGUGGAAUUCCUGGUGUAGCGGUGAAAUGCGCAGAUAUCAGGAAGAACACCAAUGGCGAAGGCAGCUCUCUAGGACGGUACUGACGCUGAGACGCGAAAGCGUGGGGAGCGAACAGG
Molecule: ribosomal RNA, 428 nt
Filed under: Bacillota bacterium
Lineage: Bacteria; Bacillati; Bacillota
Description: Firmicutes bacterium partial 16S ribosomal RNA
Rfam family: Bacterial small subunit ribosomal RNA
Source: RNAcentral